UAGGGAAUCUUCGGCAAUGGGGGCAACCCUGACCGAGCAACGCCGCGUGAGUGAAGAAGGUUUUCGGAUCGUAAAGCUCUGUUGUAAGUCAAGAACGAGUGUGAGAGUGGAAAGUUCACACUGUGACGGUAGCUUACCAGAAAGGGACGGCUAACUACGUGCCAGCAGCCGCGGUAAUACGUAGGUCCCGAGCGUUGUCCGGAUUUAUUGGGCGUAAAGCGAGCGCAGGCGGUUUGAUAAGUCUGAAGUUAAAGGCUGUGGCUCAACCAUAGUUCGCUUUGGAAACUGUCAAACUUGAGUGCAGAAGGGGAGAGUGGAAUUCCAUGUGUAGCGGUGAAAUGCGUAGAUAUAUGGAGGAACACCGGUGGCGAAAGCGGCUCUCUGGUCUGUAACUGACGCUGAGGCUCGAAAGCGUGNNNAGCGAACAGGAUUAGAUACCCUGGUAGUCCACGCCGUAAACGAUGAGUGCUAGGUGUUGGAUCCUUUCCGGGAUUCAGUGCCGCAGCUAACGCAUUAAGCACUCCGCCUGGGGAGUACGACCGCAAGGUUG
This 550-nucleotide ribosomal RNA is filed under the name uncultured bacterium. RNAcentral describes it as "bacterial SSU rRNA". It matches the Rfam family "Bacterial small subunit ribosomal RNA", at positions 355 to 896 of the family's 1533-position model. The record is from RNAcentral.